RNAcentral lists this ribosomal RNA (252 nucleotides) under uncultured Bacteroidales bacterium. RNAcentral describes it as "partial 16S ribosomal RNA". It matches the Rfam family "Bacterial small subunit ribosomal RNA", at positions 524 to 776 of the family's 1533-position model. The record is from RNAcentral. Lineage: Bacteria; Pseudomonadati; Bacteroidota; Bacteroidia; Bacteroidales.
UACGGAGGAUGCGAGCGUUAUCCGGAUUUAUUGGGUUUAAAGGGUGCGCAGGCGGAUUUUUAAGUCAGCGGUCAAAUCGUGGGGCUCAACCCCAUCCAGCCGUUGAAACUGGUGAUCUUGAGUGGGCGAGAAGUAUGCGGAAUGCGUGGUGUAGCGGUGAAAUGCAUAGAUAUCACGCAGAACUCCGAUUGCGAAGGCAGCUUACCAGUCUGCGACUGACGCUGAAGCACGAGAGCGUGGGUAGCGAACAGG